Molecule: unclassified non-coding RNA, 350 nt
Filed under: soil metagenome
Description: partial contains 5.8S ribosomal RNA, internal transcribed spacer 2, and large subunit ribosomal RNA
Rfam family: 5.8S ribosomal RNA (bases 1-120)
Source: RNAcentral
GAUGAAGAACGUAGCGAACUGCGAUAAGUAAUGUGAAUUGCAGAAUUCAGUGAAUCAUCGAGUCUUUGAACGCACAUUGCGCCCCCUGGCAUUCCGGGGGGCAUGCCUGUCCGAGCGUCAUUGCUGCCCUUCAAGCCCGGCUUGUGUGUUGGGUCGUCGUCCCCCCCGGGGGACGGGCCCGAAAGGCAGCGGCGGCACCGCGUCCGGUCCUGGAGCGUAUGGGGCUUUGUCACCCGCUCGAUUAGGGCCGGCCGGGCGCCAGCCGGCGUCUCCAACCUUCUAUUUUACCAGGUUGACCUCGGAUCAGGUAGGGAUACCCGCUGAACUUAAGCAUAUCAAUAAGCGGAGGA